UCCCGAAAAAGAUCCGAAUCGUUUGUGAAUCUCAUCACUGUUAGAAAUCCAAGAGAAGAGAUCCUCUUCCCUUAACACAGAAUGGAAUCAUCAGAGGAAAAAUCUGCUUCUUAAUCAAUUAGUUUCAGCGUUUGCUGUAAUUCAUAACGCGCUCUGUGACCCUCAGGACUCUGUGGUCUGUGUGUUCUGGUAUCUGCUGAGUCACCAGAAAUCUGCCAAGACACUGACACUUGCGCCUGCUCCAACAUCUGGCACAUAAGGGCUUUAAGGUUUCCAGAACCAAGCUGCAAUAUUGCAUGGACACUUAAGUAUAUGAACUUUUGAAGUUUUGAACUUUCUCAAGGCUGUCAUUCUAGACACAAAACACCCUGCAACUAAACAUGCACUGAUGUCUUUUCUGAGUCAGAAAAUGGAUCCCUGACUGCUCUUUAUAUGACAAGCUUCUCCGUUCCGCAAUCUCUCAUCACGAUCCACUGCAACAUCCUUUGACCUGGACUGACGCUAUGGUGGUCGCUUAUCACUCCCUCAGAAGCACCCUUUGUUCCGCCCCUGGGUUACCUGCUCACUUCAAGCCCUUCCACCUCUAUGCCUGUGAACACCAAGGCACAGCCUCUGGGGAGCAUGAGGGGGGGGGAAAUGCAUCAUUGUGCAUUUUUAUCCAAAACAUUAGACAUUGUUGCUCAAGGCUUACCUGCGUGUCUGGGGGCUGUCUCCGCAUGUGCUUUGAUGGUUUUAGAUGCGGAAAAGUUGGUUUUGUCUCACCCAUUGAUCUUGCACUCGUCACAUCAAGUUAAACAGGUGUUGCAAAAUUUAUAGACCCAUUAAAUUAAUUUAUCAGUAAUUUAAUAGAUAAUUAAAUUAACAUAUGACUAUUUAUUCUCUGUUCUACUAACAAUCUCGAAAUUUGUGUCACAUCCUGUAGGUCGCGCUCUCCCACGCCUCCUUAAUUCUCAGGAUGACACUUGGGAUGACAUUGAUAUUGUCUGUCUAAAAAUCGUGCAUACUACUAGUAUCAGGUCUGAUUUCUUCCCUCCAGCCCUCUAGGGAUCUUUGUUGGUGGUUUUUGUUCUAAACCCUCAGACGGUUCUUGUUUUAUAAUUUAUAAUAUUAUCACACCUCUGUGGUUAUUCUGUGUGUUCAAUCAAUAUCAACCUGAUAUUCUGCAUGAGACAUACGCUCUUCCUUUCUCAUUUGAUUUUUGUCAUCUUGAUUGUGGACAAAUUCUCUAAAUGGGUAGAAGUUUUUUCCUGUUUUCGAGAGAACACGAAGGUAGUUACUCGUUUUAAUACCUAGUUAUAAUAAUAAUAAUGAUACAUUUUAUUUAUAAGUGCCUUUCAAGGUACCCAAGGACACUGGACAGUAAAAAAGAAAAACAAACAAUAAAAGCAGAACAAUAAAAUAACAACAAUAAAAUAAUAAGAAAUCAAUAAUAAUAAUUAUUGUUAUAUUUAUGGGGUUUCAAAUACCAUAGACUCAGACAAAGGUACCCCUUUUCACCUCAAAAGUCACACACUUACUUUGUAAGUAUCUCUAAACUAAACUGGUGUUUUCACAUUCCUAAAUCCUCUGGUAUCGUAGAACGUACUAAUCGAACAUUGAAAGACAAAUUAAUUAAGGUCAUGCAGGACACAGGUUUGGUUCUGUAAUCCAUAAUUCAUUCUGGCUGAAAUUCGUGUGACACCAAGAAAUUAUUCUCCCCUGGAAGAAGGGAUCUCUGGCUCCGGGUACCUCUGAUUUGAAAAUGCAUAUGGAUGAGUAUUCUGCAGCCCUUAUAGAUAAGUUGCAUAAAAUUUGUACUAAGGUCAAUAAUACAAUAUUAUCUCCACCACACACCCCUUUCACGUGGGAGACAAGUGCUGGUGUGACUUUUUAAAGUAAUGAUUUGGACAAUUGGGAAAACAAUAUAGUGGGCCUGCAGACAUAGUCGCCAUUACUUUUACUGCUGUUUUAACUGAUCUUUUUCCACAGUGGAUCCAUGCCAUGCGAUUGAAGAAGGCUCCAUAACAAAGUUGUGUUACAAUGACAAGUUUGCUACUAACGUUUUCUGUGUCCCGAGAAUCUCUGUUCUCUCUCUCUCUGUCUCUCUAUUUCUGAGCUCUACACAGAUUCGACUGAGAAUCCUCAAGACGUUGUGAACAAAGAGGGGAAGAGAUCUUGCGCCCCGUUUGGAACCAAUCAUCCUCACUACAACCAUGACAGUCCUCAUCACGGGUUUCGUGACUUCAUUGUUGCUUGGGGCAGGGCUACCCGCCCGAGCCUUCGUGACUGCUUCAUCUUUGCUCGGGGCAGGGUUACCCGCCCGAGCUGGACUUCGAGACAACAUCUUCUGGACUAACUUCGCUAACUGGACUGCACAAGCGCACACCACACGGAUGUGUUAUGUCUUUCAUCUGAUGCCGUUUUCUACUAUUAUUACACAUCUCUAUGCUCUGAAACUCUGUAUUCUUACAGGACUCUGUUCUCACUAUAGGUCGAUAUGCCUUCUAAUUUCAUUUUCCCUCACUGUUUUAGAACAAAUUACUCUGAAGGAAGUAGCGUGUUUUAUAAUUAAGAGGUUUUGAGUUUCUCUAAGCUCCGGUGAGGUGGGACGAGGGCUGAUCGGGCAUGCCCGCCCUCUGAGCACCAAUAUACGUCAAGAAGGGCAAAGAUUAACUCAAGAUUAAUUCUCGAUGUAAUCACAUAUAUGAUCAUGAGGUGAUAAUGAUCAAAUAUGAUCCUAGGAUUUGAUAAUAGUGAUACUAUUAUCAAAGGGGGGGAUUGUUAGGUUUAUAUAAGUAUUAUUCUUGACCAAGAAGGCAGUAAUUUAUUAAAAUGGUGACAAAAUUAAUGAUUCAGUUAAAAUGACCUUCUGUCUCGGCUGGACAUUGUCUGGGAACAUUUUGUUUAUGUUUGAUAUGAAAUGUGUAUUAUUGAUCAGAUAUGUGUCUAAACAGCGCCUGGAGGUCUACAUAUGAUGUCAGACACACCAACACACACUCACAACUGCAUAUCCAAGGAUUGAAUGUAGUUUUAUAAUUACAGAAUAUAACUUAGGAUUGUUAAGACUUUAUGAUUCUAAUGUUAAAGAUUUUAUGAGUUUAAUCCUGAAUCCUGUCCUCCGGUGAAGUAGCAUUUCUUUGCUUUGCCAGACAUAUUCUUAUUUUUCGUAUGACUGUUUUGUUUAAGUUUGUUCUUAUUUUGUUUAUAACAUAUAACAUAUAUUUAUAACAUAUCUUUGUUAAAAUUGUUUGUUAUUUUGCUUAUGAUUGUCUUACUACAUAUUGCUGAAAUCAAGAUGUAAUUUGCUGACUUAGCACAAGACACACAUUCAUGUGUUAAGAGUUAUGAUUUUAAUAUUUUUAGCUUUUCAUCUUUUAGCUUUUAGAUCCUUUAAAACUAUUGCUGUUUAAAUUGGUAUUAAUGUCUGAUGUAUUUUUCUUUGAUUAGACUUCGUAGACUAGAUAUAUUAUCUGUGUUUAAGUACAUAGUGCCCUGACCUGAAGGGGGGUACGUAAGCAAUGACCUUUAAGAUGUCUGAACAAUGAAGUAAUUAAGACCUGCUCAUAUACACACACACACACACACACACACACACACACACACACACACACACACACACACAAUAGACACAGAUAUCAAAAUGAUGUCACUCACUCACACCCCCCCUAUAUGCACAUACACACAUAGAUCAAACAGUGAUGUCAUUUCAUCAGAUAAUAUCCACAUAUAUAUCCACCCUCUGUAUUCCUGUCCAAUUGGGGAACUUGCGAAUAAAGAUGUGAACUACA
This is a long non-coding RNA of Neoarius graeffei (lesser salmon catfish), 3767 nucleotides long. RefSeq lists it as uncharacterized. The transcript is spliced from 2 exons. NCBI's taxonomy places the organism in Eukaryota, Metazoa, Chordata, Actinopteri, Siluriformes, Ariidae. The record is from RefSeq and is a predicted model, not a curated record.